Molecule: long non-coding RNA, 1786 nt
Organism: Cebus imitator (Panamanian white-faced capuchin)
Lineage: Eukaryota; Metazoa; Chordata; Mammalia; Primates; Cebidae
Exons: 3
Source: RefSeq, a predicted model, not a curated record
GCUAUCCCGCAGUUAUGCGUCCAGUGUCCCCUCUAUUCUGGGUCCCUCCUCUUUGUAGUCCCACUGCCCACCCCAAGGCCCGGCACCCAGCUGCCGCCCGAAAUACUUGUUGAAUUAAUGAAACAAGGCGAUCACAAAGGAAGGGAAAAUGGAACGAGGAAUGAAAUUUAAUGAAAUCUCAGGAUGCCCAAGAUCAGUAAGGCUAUGCAACAUUGCUUUAGAAUUCUGGCAUCGAUAUUUAAAGGCAGGGGAUUGGUGGAUUCCUUUAGGAAGGAAAUGAUCAGCCCAAGAGGAAAGCAAAGCAAAGCGAAGCAAACAAAACAAAACAAAACGUGACAGUUGGGGAGUCCUUCGAUGAAACAGGACUGAAUUAUUCUUCAGUGAAGCCCUGUCUUCAAUAAGCACUAGUCUCUCUCACACACACAAAUGUAAGCCUUCUCUCUCCUUGUUGUUAUUAUUUUUUUUAAUUUCAGAAAUGAGGAUCUCGCUAGUACUAUCUCUGUUUUCUUCAGUCUCAAGUGAUCCUGGGCUCAAGUGAUCCUCCCACCUCAGCCUCGCAAGUGGCUAGGAUUACAGGUGCAUGCCACUGCACCUGGCUGGGCUUCUCUCUUAAUAUGAGCCAAAAUAAGAAUGACAAGAGAUUUCAGAAAAAUUUUUAACAUCAGAAAGGCCGAAACAAAGAAAAAGGUAACACGAACAAAACAAACCAUGUAGGAAGUAGAAGAAAAAAACAUGUAUUUAUCAUCAGUGAAAUAAGAAAAGAUAUUACAUCCAUGAAACACACAAAAAAAGUUAUAAAAAGCAAUAUUUGAAAAACAAAAUAAAGGCCUUAGACAUUUUAAAAUGUGAUGCAAGAAACAAAAAUUUAAAUGUUCUAUGAAAAGAGUUAAGAAAAUGUCUUAAAAAUAUAGAACAACAACAAGAAGAUGUAACAUAAGUGAGAAAACAUACAGUCUACAUGUCUAUCAUUUGAAUAAUAUAAAUACCUGAAAAAAAUCAGAGCAAAUGGAGGGGAAAAUUGCCAAAUAAAUAAUGCAAUAUUUUUCAGAAUGAAAGGACAUAUUUCCAGAUUGAAUGAAUCCCACCAACUACUCAGCAUCCCACAUUAAAGUAGACUCAUGCAGGAGUACAUCAUCACGAAAUUUUGGAACACUGGGAACAUGUAGACCUUAGACACAUCCUGACUGUUUUAAAAAGCUUACAAAGGAUUGAAAAUCAGAAUGUCAUCAGACUUCUUACAACAAGUUAAACUGCAGAAAAAUGGAGCAAUGUCUUCAAAGUUCUUAGAGAAAAUUUUUUCCAAGCUCUAAUCUGUACCCUAACAACUAAUAUAGUUUGAAGUUAGAAUAAGGACAGUUUCAGACAAGCAAGAUCCAAGCAAAUUUACAUUCUAUGCAUCAUUUCUCAGAAAGCUAAAGGAGGAUGUACUCAUUAAGUAAAGAGUAAACUAAGGGCAAGAUAUGGAAUCCAAGGGAGAGACCUCACUCAAGAGAGUCAAAGGGAAUUCCCUGGAUGAUAGCAAAAGAAAAUCCCCAAGGCAACAGCUGUGUUGCAUCCUUGAAUAUAUUCUGUACCCAUUAACCUUCCCUACUUUCUCUCCCCUCCCCACUAUCCUUCCUAGCCUCUGGUAAUCAUUGUUCUAUUCUUUAUCUCCAUGAGUGCAAUUGUUUUAAUUUUUAGUUUCCACAAAUGAGGGAGAACAAGUGAAGUUUGUCUUUCUGUGACUGGCUUGUUUUGCUUAACAUAAUGACCUCCAGUUCCAUCCAUGUUGCUGCAAAUGGCAGGA